AGGUUCAUGCCAUUCUCCUGCCUCAGCCUCCCGAGUAGCUGGGACUACAGGCUCCCACCACCAUGCCUGGCUAAUUUUUUGUAUUUUUAGUAGAGACGGGGUUUCACCAUGUUAGCCAGGAUGGUCUCGAUCUCCUGACCUUGUGAUCUGCCCGCCUUGGCCUCCCAAAGUGCUGGGAUUACAGGCAUGAGCCACCGCGCCCAGCCACAAAUACAUUUUUUGAGACAAAGUCUCUGUCGCCCAGGUUGGAGUGCAGUAGCACGAUCUCGGCUCACUUCAACCUCUGCUUCCUGGGUUCAUGCCAUUCUUGUGCCUCAGCCUCCUGAGUAGCUGGGACUAGAGAUGCACGCCACCAUGCCCGGCUAAUUUUUGUAUUUUUAGUACAGACAGGGUUUCACCAUGUUGGCCAGGUUGGUCUCAAACUCCUGACCUCAAGUGAUCCGCCCGCCUUGGCCUCCCAGAGUGCUGGGAUUACAGGUGUGAGCCACCGCUCCGGCCCUAUUAUAAAUAAUUUCUAUUUAACAAAAAAUGGUCAACUCACAACUUAGUGGAUACAUUAAAAAGUACCACAAAUUACCGUUAAACAUUUUUCUUUUUUUUUUUUGAGACCGAGUCUCUCACUCUGUCGCCCAGGCUGGAGUGCAAUGGCAUGAUCUCGGCUCACUGCAAUCUCUGCCUCCUGGGUUCAAGCGAUUCUCGUGCCUCAGCCUCCCGAGUAGCUGGGACUACACAUGCCCGCCACCAUGCCCAGCUAAUUUUUGUAUUUUUAGUAGAGAUGUGGUUUCACCAUGUUGGCCAGGCUGGUCUCGAACUCAUGACUUCAGGUGCUCCACUUGCCUUGGCCUCCCAAAGUGCUGGGAUUACAGAUGUGAGCCACUGUGCCCAGACUCUUUUUCUUUCUUUUUUUUUUUAAUGGAUGGGAUCUUAUGAAGUCCAAUCUGAACUUGAACUCCUGGCCUCAAACAGUCCUCUUGCCUUAGCCUUCUGUGUAGCUAGGACUACAGGCAUGCACCACUGUGCCUAAUUUAAACAUUUCUUUAAAUGUUAGCUAUAGCAAACCUUAUAAAUCAAGCCUACUUCAAAUUACACAAACACAGAUCCUACAUGAAAGUCAGUAAAUCUGUGGGGAGACUUUUUUUUUUUAUUUUUAAAACAAGCAACUGGCGAUGAAUGUGUAACUUUAUUUAUACACGAAGUUGUUGGACUGUGUCCUCAUGCCUGAUUUUGUAUGGGCUGUUGCAUUUAUCCCUGGGGAACAGGUUUAGCUGAAGUCACCAACACAGAUGUACUCCACAGUGAGAAAACAAGUGUGGGAACAUGGCUCUGAAGAGUGCUUUCCACAGUGACAUACGACAGGAUAAAGUUAGUGCCUUUUAGGCUCUGCAAUUUUGAAUUCUGUGGAUAUCAUAAAAGGACACUUGGCCGUAGUGCUCCUCUGUCUUAGAAAAUCUUUUUGACACUGAUAAUGCAUAUCAGAAUGCAUGGUUAAAAGCAGAUGUUGGCCGGGCUUACGCCUGUAAUCCCAGCACUUUGGGAAGCUCAAGCAGGUGAAUCACAUGAGGUCAGGAGUUUGAGAGAAGCCUGGCCAGCAUGGUGAAACCCCAUCUCUACUAAAAAUACAAAAAUUUGCCGGGUGUGGUUGUGCAUGCCUGUAAUUCUAGCUACUCGGGAGGCUGAGGUAGGAGAAUCGCUUGAACCCGGGAGGUGGAGGGUGCAGUGAGCCAAGAUCGUACCACUGCACUCCAGCCUGGGGAACAGAGUGAGACUGUGUCUCAAAAAAAGAAAAAAAAAGGCAGAGAAGUUUUAAAAUGCUAAAUAUCAAGUUUUAGGUGCCACAGAAUAUGUUUAGCUUUACUUGACAUGGUAAAUAAUUAAUCUUAGGUAUCUGUAAAAAAUAAACUCUAAAUCCGAGGUCAUCUACUGAGAAACAGCCAGUAAGAAUCAGUCUUGCUCUGAGUUUCGAGAGUCCCUUUUAUAAAAUUCGUAUCAUAUACAACUCAUAGGAGGACACACCGACCACACACAAAGAUGAGGCCCAGCUAUCUCACUAUAUCCUCAAGGACUGAUUUCUUUACCCAUAGACAAGACUUCAAUUGCCAACAUUAAAAGACUUGAAAUUGAGAGAUACAAACAGUAGUUAUGUUUUACUGAGCUCUGCACUUUUGCUGGGAUGGAUCACAAACUGUCCACUGGCUGUUCACCAAUGGGCUUCAUUGCAUAGACUGCACUUUGGGAAAAGAAUAACAUCUGAAAUACUCUCAAAGCGGCAAAUUGGCCAGGAGUGGUGGCUCAUGCCUGUAAUCUCAGCACUUUGGAAGGUCGAAGUGGGUGGAUUACUUGAGCCCAGGAGUUUGAGACCAGCCUUGGCAACACAGUGAAACCCUGUCUCUACAAAAACAAAAAAAUUAAUAAAAUUAUCAAAAAUUUAGCCAGGUGUGGUGGUGUGCUUGCCUGUAGUCCCAGCUACUCAGGAGGUGGAGGUGGAAGAAAUGCCUGAGCCUGGGAAGUCAAGGCUGCAGUGAGCCAUGAUCAGGCCACCACACUCCAGCAAAUAACAAGAUUUGAUCAUCUUCAAAAUAUAUAUAUUUAUUUUUCUUUAGACAGUCUUGCUCUGUUGCCCAGGCUGGAGUGCAGUGGCGCAAUCUCAGCUCACUACAACCUCCGCUUCCUGGAUUCAAACGAUUCUCAGGCCUUAGCCUCCCAAGUAGCGGGGAUUACAGGCAUGUGCCACUGUGCCUGGCUAAUUGUUUUGUAUUUUUAGUAGAGACAGUUUUUGCCAUGUUGGUCUCAAAUUCCUAGCCUCAAGUGAUUGGCCCACCUCAGCCUCCCGAAUUGCUGGGAUUACAGGUGUGAGCCACCAUGCCCAGCCUUUUUUGAGACUGAGUCUCGCUCUGUCUCCCAGGCUGGAGUGCAAUUGCAGUGGCUCAAUCUCAGCUCACUGCAGCCUCUACCUCCUGGGUUCAAGCAAUUCUCCUGCCUCAGCCUCCUGAGUAGCUGGGAUUACAGGCACACACCACCAUACCCAGCUAAUUUUCGUAUUUUUAGUAGAGACGGGGUUUCACCAUGUUGGCCAGGCUGGUCUUGAACUCCUGACCUCGUGAUCCGCCCACCUCAGCCUCCCAAAGUGCUGGGACUACAGGCGUGAGCCACCGCGCCUGGCCUUUUUUGUUUUGUUUUUUUGGUUGAGACAGGGUCUUGCACUGUUG
RNAcentral lists this long non-coding RNA (3206 nucleotides) under Homo sapiens (human). RNAcentral describes it as "HSALNT0049911". The record is from RNAcentral. Lineage: Eukaryota; Metazoa; Chordata; Mammalia; Primates; Hominidae.